This 253-nucleotide ribosomal RNA is filed under the name uncultured bacterium. Its description in RNAcentral is "partial 16S ribosomal RNA". It matches the Rfam family "Bacterial small subunit ribosomal RNA", at positions 524 to 776 of the family's 1533-position model. The record is from RNAcentral.
UACAGAGAGUGCAAGCGUUAAUCGGAAUUACUGGGCGUAAAGCGCACGUAGGUGGAUCUUUAAGUCGGAUGUGAAAGCCCUGGGCUUAACCUAGGAAUUGCAUUCGAUACUGUGGGUCUAGAAUAUGGUAGAGGGAAGUGGAAUUUCCGGUGUAGCGGUGAAAUGCGUAGAUAUCGGAAGGAACAUCAGUGGCGAAAGCGGCUUCCUGGACCAAUAUUGACACUUAGGUGCGAAAGCGUGGGGAGCAAACACG